UGCCUUAUAGUGGGGGAGUAGCCUUUCGAAAGGAAGAUUAAUACCGCAUAAGAUUGUAGUAUCGCAUGAUAUAGCAAUUAAAGGAAGCAAUCCGCUAUAGGAUGGACCCGCGUCGCAUUAGCUAGUUGGUGAGGUGAUGGCUCGCCAAGGCGACGAUGCGUAGCCGACCUGAGAGGGUGAUCGGCCACAUUGGGACUGAGACACGGCCCAGACUCCUACGGGAGGCAGCAUG
This 232-nucleotide ribosomal RNA is filed under the name uncultured bacterium. RNAcentral's name for it is "partial 16S ribosomal RNA". It matches the Rfam family "Bacterial small subunit ribosomal RNA", at positions 127 to 353 of the family's 1533-position model. The record is from RNAcentral.